UGCAGACUGACUUUUUAAUUGACUUCUGUUUUGCAUUGUCAUUCUGCCAGGCUGAUGGAAAGCACAUCUGGUGGUGAAGUUGCUCCUCUGUCCCAAGCCCUUCCCUACUUUUCCCAGGUGCCCAGGCUGCCAUGAGACCAAGAUAUCAGGGACAAGAUUGUUGAGGUUCCAAAAUCAGAAGCCACCUAGGGUCCCUGUACUCAGUGCCCACUCAAGCCUGGGGACCCUGGGUACAGGCCUUCCUGGGUGGAGAAACAGAGGCCAGGAAGGAAGAAGACUUAUGUGGAGAACAGGGUACACCACUACUCUGACCCAGAAUGCUGAAGUUCUUAAAGAAGAGAAAUGACUUUCCAGUUACAAAUGAGAAAACCAAGGCCCAGGGAGAACAUCAAAGUCACUUGCUAAAAGUCA
This is a long non-coding RNA of Erinaceus europaeus (western European hedgehog), 411 nucleotides long. RefSeq lists it as uncharacterized. NCBI's taxonomy places the organism in Eukaryota, Metazoa, Chordata, Mammalia, Eulipotyphla, Erinaceidae. The record is from RefSeq and is a predicted model, not a curated record. The transcript is spliced from 3 exons.